RNAcentral lists this ribosomal RNA (253 nucleotides) under uncultured bacterium. RNAcentral describes it as "partial 16S ribosomal RNA". It matches the Rfam family "Bacterial small subunit ribosomal RNA", at positions 524 to 776 of the family's 1533-position model. The record is from RNAcentral.
UACGGAGGAUCCAAGCGUUAUCCGGAAUCAUUGGGUUUAAAGGGUCCGUAGGCGGCCCUGUAAGUCAGUGGUGAAAUCUCCCGGUUCAACCGGGAAACUGCCAUUGAUACUGCAGGGCUUGAAUUAUUGGGAAGUAACUAGAAUAUGUAGUGUAGCGGUGAAAUGCUUAGAUAUUACAUGGAAUACCGAUUGCGAAGGCAGGUUACUACCAAUACAUUGACGCUGAUGGACGAAAGCGUGGGGAGCGAACAGG